This 1167-nucleotide long non-coding RNA is filed under the name Ailuropoda melanoleuca (giant panda). RNAcentral's name for it is "lncRNA (ENSAMEG00000023860.1)". Lineage: Eukaryota; Metazoa; Chordata; Mammalia; Carnivora; Ursidae. The record is from RNAcentral.
AAUGCAUGGAAGCUUCGAGAAAAAGUUCAGCUCUUCACUUGAAAUAUUACCUUUUCAAGUAUGGUGAAUGCAACCGCAAGUAGAGGCUUUCCCUGGACAUUUUCAAAUCCUGUGGGUUUUCUCAGGCUCUCUGAACACGGAGAUGAACUCCGAACUCUCUUUUUCAUGAUGUGUCUCUGAGCAAGGGAACCACGGGAAGCCCAGGCUGGCAAUGCUUCCCAUCAGACAACUCUGACUCGAGCCACCAUUUGAAACUAUCCCCAAGGCUGUUGUCUUCAACCUUUACUUAAAGAUCAUUUCUGUGAAGCAUCCAAUUUCUGCUGCUCCUUUGGGCUGCGGUUUAAGACAGACUUCGCAGUAUUUACUGUUUCUAGUUUUGAGCUGACAACUAUUUAAGGGCAAGAGAUUUCAGCUGCCACCACCCUUCACAGCUUUUGCCACCAACACGUUUGCCAGACAGAACUAGCUGGAGCUCCGGGAAGCUGAGGAAACCAGUUUCAUAUGGUACAAGGAGAAAGAUUUUAGAAUUUGGAGUUGUUUUGCUGCUGUUACGGUCUGUGUUCUCUGUCCCACUUGGAAUGUGGGGCGCUGUGAACUGUGGCGUCUGUGUGGCCUACAGGAAUAAUCAGUGUCACUCAUCUUAGGGUAGUCAGCUCUGCUGGGGUCACUCACAUUCCUGGCUGUGGUGACUCCGCUCUGCUCCCCAUACCUCUUCUCUAGAAGGCUAGCCUGGGCAUGUUAUCAGAGUGAAGGCACAAAUGCACCAGAAACUCACAGCCUCUGGAGGCCUAGACUUAGAGCUGGAACAGGGUCAAGACCAGUGAAUUCUAGGGGCCCAGGAAAGUCUCAAGGUCGCCCCCAUUUUUAAGGCAUUGGGAAGUAAACUCUGCAAAGAACUGUAAAGUCACAAGACAAAAUGGAUUGAGAGGGGGAGUGCUGCAGAAUGGGGCCAUCCAAGCGACCCGCCGCAGCCCUACACUGAGGUGCGGGUCCCCUCCUCCCUGGAGUUCUCUCACGGUGCCUGUUCAUCGUGCCAUCUGCCAGCCCUACGACAGCACUCGCAUUCCGAGAGCUGAGCAAGCAAAUCGGGGAAAAAGAGAAACCAAGAAAUCAGGGAGACCUUUACAGAUCCUAGCGGUGUAAACUCAGAAAUCUAACAAUGGCGAG